Molecule: non-coding RNA, 116 nt
Filed under: bovine gut metagenome
Description: SAM riboswitch (S box leader)
Rfam family: SAM riboswitch aptamer (S box leader)
About the family: The SAM riboswitch is found upstream of a number of genes which code for proteins involved in methionine or cysteine biosynthesis in Gram-positive bacteria.
Source: RNAcentral
CUUAUCAUGAGCGGUGGAGGAACGGGUCCUGUGAAGCCGCGGCAACCGCGCCGGUCCCUUAUCAGGCGGGCGGCGAAUGGUGCCAAGUCCUGCGGGGGUUUCCCCGGAAGAUGAGG